GCUUACGGCCACACCAGCCUGGUUCACGCCGAUCUCGUUUGAUCUCGGAAGCUAAGAUAGGUUGGGCCUGGUUAGUACUUGGAUGGGAGACCGCUGGGAAUACCAGGUGCUGUAAACU
Molecule: ribosomal RNA, 118 nt
Filed under: Scophthalmus maximus (turbot)
Lineage: Eukaryota; Metazoa; Chordata; Actinopteri; Pleuronectiformes; Scophthalmidae
Source: RNAcentral